AAGCCGGCAUCAAAAAUUGAGCCGGACUACAAAAAAUUUAUUUAUUAAUUUGUCCGGUAUCUUAAAAAGAACUGGAACAGGAG
This is a regulatory RNA element of Oxobacter pfennigii, 83 nucleotides long. It matches the Rfam family "pan motif". NCBI's taxonomy places the organism in Bacteria, Bacillati, Bacillota, Clostridia, Eubacteriales, Clostridiaceae. The record is from Rfam.